AGUCAGUCUGUAAAUCGACCUCAAACAAAUUGCAACAGAAAAUAUUUUACCUGGUAUAGAAAGUAAAUGGAAUAACAUGAAUCAUAUCAAAAGUCUAGCAAAAUCUAAGUUGCGCAACAUUGAAAAAAAACGGGUUUUUAUCGCGUUAUUUUUUGUGAUUUUUUUCUGACGACAACGGUCUUCCAUAGGCGAACAAAGCGUCUCCGAUACUCAGAAUAGCGACUGCAUAAUGGUGACAACAACAACAAAAUAUGUGUAAACAAAAUUAAUGUCAGUAAAGUACACUGUAAAGUGGGUUGGUAUAUUUUCCUUAAAAUAUUACAGAUCAUAAUAGGAAUUAUUAAUGUGGGGUCGUAAGUUUAUUAUGAGUAUUUGUUGAAGAUUAUUACUUGUUUUACCAGUUCUUUAUCCGUUGAAGGUCAACAGGUGUUUCAAGUGAUCUGUAUUAUACUUUUCAUGGAAAACAGUUUAAUUUAUAUAAAUUACAACUCUGAUUAACUCCUGUCUUAGUAAACAUUCAAAAACGGCCUAAAAAUGUGUAUUUAUAACAAGUUAAUUUCGACAGUAUUUUAAACUAUGGAACGCCAUUAUCACGUUAAUUAUGACGAAUUACGUUAAAUAAAGUCUGAAUACUUUAAUCAUGUUUUAUUGUUAAAUUUGAAUUCAAGGUUGGGUUUUUUUUGUAUUUUUUAAUAGUUUUUUUAAAAUUGUUUUACAUAUAUAAUGUAUGUAAUGUUAUUAUUAUUUCAGGGGUACCGCUUUGAGGUAGUCUUCAUUGAUGUAUGCUUGAUUUUGAAAAUAAAAAAAAUCCAGUAAACUAUAUGUACACUAAAUGAGUAAGUUUGCUUUCCUGUGCUUACAUUUGUAAUAUUUUUACAUAUAUAACACAAAUAUCAAACAUUAUCUUUUACUAGUAAGUUUAAGUGAAUAUUAAACAUGGAGGAAAUAGAGUCGUAUGCAUAAUUCAAUAUAUCUGAAAUUAUUUUCAGUUUUUAAUAGACAUAGAAGAAAUUUAUACAUGAAAAGGUGACAUGAAAAAUUUAUCAAUAAACAAACGUGAUUUCUAGUUAUGGUUCAUGAUUGGCGACGUGUAUGAGUUCAAGAUUUCAUCAACACACCAGAGCCAAUGGGUAUGCCCGAUCAUGUGUUCUGAGGACACUGUGAUGUAUACGAGUUAAAGAUGAACUCCUGUCGGAUUUGUUAACGGCUGUUUGAUGAUCAUACAAAGACAGUUAAAGGCAACGAAAAGGAAUGCAAGGGAAUAAAUGCUGCCAGUGAGAAAUAAAAUGACAGUUUAAAAGUUGAAUCGGAAUAAUAUAUUCACAUUGAGUGUAGAAAGAUGUACUGUAACCCACAUUACACUAAAAGAGACACUAAGACAGAAAAAGAAAACACUGAUGCCACCAUUGAGAUCAAUGACUGAUAAGUUUUCAUACAAAAAAGAUUGUUUAUAUUGUGGUCAAUCUGUAAUAAGUAAGGGUAAAACAAGGAAGUGUGAUGUUUCGCCAGUAAGGACACUUGAAUAUAUGUAUACAGAGGAAUGACACUGUUUGUCUGAUAUAGUAAGAGCAAGGAUAGAACAGGUUCACGACUUGCUUGUAGCCGAUGCUCUUUACCAUCAAACAUGUUUAUGCUCCUCUAAUUUCAGAACUGGAAAAGAUAUACCAGAAGAAUUUCAGGUGCUACCAUCUAGUGAUAAAAAGUGAAAGAUUGGUCGAGCAGAAAUUACAGAAGCGAGUGACGCUUUGUAAAAGUCAUGACAUUCUUGUGCUUAUGCUUAGCGAAGAUAUUUUACAAAUUAAAAUUUGCAUUUUUUUUUUUUUAAAUUUUAUGCUCAAAUGUAUCAAAUAUUUGAAAUUGACCUUCCAAAAGGUCAAUGUCACCUCUUUUGACCCAAUGUCAUGAUGUUAUAUAAUGACUCAGAAAAAAAUACAACAGAUGUGCUUGAAAGUAUUCAAGUUAAUAUAAAACUCAAUAUUAUUAUCAUAGAUAAUAUAGAUUUCCUUAAUGUUUCUUUUUUUGUAUAAAAUUACCCCACCCACUAGCUGUACAAUGUUAAUAUAAAUAUUUCAAUAUAUGCAUUAAAUAUUGAUGGAAUGUAAAUUAAAUUUAUAAAACGUUGAAACUUGAUAGUUUUCACAUGUACGUAAACCAUUAUGUAUUUUCUGUUUAAUAUCAUAUAACAUAGAGCUUUCAAUAAAUUGUUGAUCUACAGCAAUGUAAAAAUAUAAUAUUACCCCACCCACUUAAGUUAAUUAAUAAAUUUUAGAAAGGUAAAAGUAGUUUCUUUAAACAAAAACAACUUUUUGAUUACUUUAUGUUACUAUAGGGAUAGAUUAAGCUAUAUUUUUAUGCAUAUUAUAUAUAAAACUGAUUGGAAAAUUGUAUGUGUGUAUUACAUUGAGUUCAAAUUAAAAAAAAUAAAUACAAUGAUACCCAUAUAUUUGAUCUCAAUUUUUGAAAACAUUCUCCAAUUUAGAUUUUUCUAGACUUUUGAUAUGUUAUACAAUAUAGGUCUGGGGUGUCAAAACACUCAAAAUAUUUUCUGUUGCAAUUUGUUUGAGGUUUGGCUCUAUUUUGAGCUAGAAUGACUG
Long non-coding RNA from Ruditapes philippinarum (Manila clam), 2594 nucleotides. RefSeq lists it as uncharacterized. The record is from RefSeq and is a predicted model, not a curated record. Lineage: Eukaryota; Metazoa; Mollusca; Bivalvia; Venerida; Veneridae. The transcript has 3 exons.